Molecule: ribosomal RNA, 878 nt
Filed under: uncultured bacterium
Lineage: Bacteria
Description: bacterial SSU rRNA
Rfam family: Bacterial small subunit ribosomal RNA
Source: RNAcentral
AGAGUUUGAUCCUGGCUCAGAAUCAACGCUGGCGGCGCGCUUAACACAUGCAAGUCGAACGAGAAAGUUCCCUUCGGGGAGCGAGUAAAGUGGCGGACGGGUGAGUAACACGUGGGUUAUCUGCCCUUGAGUGGGGAAUAACUCUGGGAAACCGGAGCUAAUACCGCAUACGAUCCUUCGGGAUGAAAGCUUUAUGCGCUCAAGGAUGAGCCCGCGGUCGAUUAGCUAGUUGGUGGGGUAAUGGCUCACCAAGGCUACGAUCGAUAGCCGGCCUGAGAGGGCACACGGCCACACUGGCACUGAGACACGGGCCAGACUCCUACGGGAGGCAGCAGUGGGGAAUCUUGGUCAAUGGGGGAAACCCUGAACCAGCGACGCCGCGUGACCGAUGAAGGCCCUCGGGUCGUAAAGGUCUUUCGACGGGGACUAUAAUGAAGGUACCCGUAAAAGCAGGAGCGGCUAACUAUGUGCCAGCAGCCGCGGUAAUACAUAGGCUCCAAGCGUUGUUCGGAAUUACUGGGCGUAAAGCGAGUGUAGGCUGUCCGCCAAGUCGAUUGUGAAAUCUCCCGGCUCAACUGGGAGGGUGCGGUCGAAACUGGCGGACUAGAGUUCGGGAGAGGAGAGUGGAAUUCCUGGUGUAGCGGUGAAAUGCGUAGAUAUCAGGAGGAACACCGGCGGUGAAGACGGCUCUCUGGACCGAUACUGACGCUGAGACUCGAAAGCGUGGGGAGCAAACAGGAUUAGAUACCCUGGGUAGUCCACGCCCUAAACGAUGCGUACUUGGGUGUAGUGCUUCAUUGCAUCUGUGCCGAAGUUAACACGAUAAGUACGCCGCCUGGGGAGUACGGUCGCAAGGCUGAAACUCAAUGAAUUGACGG